GCACCAUCAGACCAAGUCCAUCACAAUAAUAAUCUGAUCUUUCAAAUUCAAAAAUAUCCAAAAAUCAUGCAUCUACACAACAAUUUUGCAGCGACACAAAAAUAAGAAUACUGCAGCAACUUUUAGAUUCCAAAGAGCCCUUGUCCACCUGGUGCUUCUUGUUCCAAAUGUCACUCCUUUUAAACUUAACUUUGCCACCCUAGUGCAUGGGGUAUUUAACGGCAAGUCAGCAGCGCGUCAACCAAGGUUCAGGUGCAACGAUUGUCCCAUCUCUCAAGGAUGUGGAGAAUUUCCAGGAAUAUUGAUAUCAAAUUCUACUGCCAUUCAAGUGUGCAACAAAAUUCACUGCAUUGGGAGAGUAUGGCGACAAACGACAUCAUCUUGCAUUUAGUUCUUCUAACCCUGUCCGAUUAAUUAUUGUACAUAUCACAGCAUACCUACUUGUCUUGACGUUCCAAGGUGCCAUUAGGUACUAUCUACCAUCUGAGUUAACACAUUUGUGCAAGGAUGCCCAAGCUCUCCCACAAUUUUUCUGUAGAUAUUGAAGUUUGGAACACCAUUAGGCAGAUAAUUUCACUUCAUCUCUUGCUAGGCCUGACAAGCCCAUCAGUCAC
Molecule: long non-coding RNA, 614 nt
Filed under: Solanum tuberosum (potato)
Lineage: Eukaryota; Viridiplantae; Streptophyta; Magnoliopsida; Solanales; Solanaceae
Description: long non-coding RNA (STUB_LNC010831)
Source: RNAcentral